Fukomys damarensis (Damara mole-rat) is the source of this 158-nucleotide non-coding RNA. The record is from Rfam. NCBI's taxonomy places the organism in Eukaryota, Metazoa, Chordata, Mammalia, Rodentia, Bathyergidae.
GGCUUUGCCCAGUGGCAGUAUUGCACCCAAUGAAGUUUAUCCAAGGUGCGAUUAUUGCUAAUUGAACACAAGACUCAGCGCAGGCCAGGGUGGCCCUUUUCACCUCAGGAAACUCAUGCUGACCUUCAAUAUCUGUGAUCAGGGAGGAGGCUCUUCUG